This 755-nucleotide long non-coding RNA is filed under the name Mus spicilegus (steppe mouse). RNAcentral's name for it is "lncRNA (ENSMSIG00000009775.1)". Lineage: Eukaryota; Metazoa; Chordata; Mammalia; Rodentia; Muridae. The record is from RNAcentral.
CUCACGUAUGUGUACACAGGACAAGUGUUGGAAAACAUGGCAUGGGUACCUUUGGCACAGAGGUAAAUCAGCUCUCCGAGGAAGACGUACUUAAGGCAGAAAGAUGCAACUGUUGAAGAAGCAGGAAGCUCACGCGUGCCAACGCCCCAAGGUGCCUGACUUGAGCUUCCCAGCAGGAGAUCCUUCCCAGGGCUCCUCAGACCACUGCUGCAGCUUCCUCUCUCCCCUGCACUGCUGCAGAUCAACCUCCUCUGGAGCUGUGAGGGACAUGUGACCUUUCCAGAACCAACCCCGAGGGCCCUAUCUUCCAUUGGUCAGUCCCUUCCUCCCAGAAUUCUCUUCUUCCCUCAAGACCUAGCCUAGAUAUUCCCUCCAGUAUGAAACCUAUCCUCACCCUCCUGACUGAACUCACCUCUCCACAUGCAUGUUGCCUUCCAGAUGAAGGCUUUCCGUAACUAUGGGCUGCACUUCACAGUGUCACAGAGACAACUGCACUGAAUUCAAGAGAUGGGUUCACACGAUGGAGCAAGAGCAGAAUGAAGCAAGUCCCGGCUUUAUCACCUUUGGAAGACACAGGUCUCCUGCCACCCUCCGAGAUCUUCCCGCCGAGCCCAGGCGCGGGGCAUGAGGAGCCCCUGGGUGUCUCCUGCAGACAACCCAGCCUCGCGCACACCUCGCCAGUCGCUGACAGGGACAUGAACAGCAUGAUUGGGUUCCGGUGUCCGGCGGCCAGCCUCAGCCGGAGGCGGCCAGUG